This is a transfer RNA of Ovis aries (sheep), 72 nucleotides long. It matches the Rfam family "tRNA". From Rfam's summary of the family: Transfer RNA (tRNA) molecules are approximately 80 nucleotides in length. Their secondary structure includes four short double-helical elements and three loops (D, anti-codon, and T loops). NCBI's taxonomy places the organism in Eukaryota, Metazoa, Chordata, Mammalia, Artiodactyla, Bovidae. The record is from Rfam.
UCCCUGGUGGCUCAGAGGUUUAAGCAUCUGCCUGCAAUGUGGGAGACCUGGGUUCGAUCCCCGGGUCGGGAA